This 64-nucleotide transfer RNA is filed under the name Melanotus cribricollis. RNAcentral's name for it is "tRNA-Pro". Lineage: Eukaryota; Metazoa; Arthropoda; Insecta; Coleoptera; Elateridae. The record is from RNAcentral.
CAGAGAAUAGUUUAUUAAAAUUUUAAUUUUGGAGAUUAAAGAUAAGAGUUAUUCUUUUCUCUGA